UCCCUGGUGUCUCAGAUGGUAAAGAAUCUGCCUGCAAUGCAGGAGACCCAGGUUCAAUCCCUGGGUUGGGAA
RNAcentral lists this transfer RNA (72 nucleotides) under Bos taurus (domestic cattle). It matches the Rfam family "tRNA". From Rfam's summary of the family: Transfer RNA (tRNA) molecules are approximately 80 nucleotides in length. Their secondary structure includes four short double-helical elements and three loops (D, anti-codon, and T loops). RNAcentral also lists the same sequence under 4 other names. The record is from Rfam by way of RNAcentral. Lineage: Eukaryota; Metazoa; Chordata; Mammalia; Artiodactyla; Bovidae.